Pelobates cultripes (western spadefoot toad) is the source of this 204-nucleotide non-coding RNA. The record is from the annotation of a GenBank genome assembly. NCBI's taxonomy places the organism in Eukaryota, Metazoa, Chordata, Amphibia, Anura, Pelobatidae.
GUCCCCAGACAGUACAACUUUAAAUAGUACCAACACAUAUUGUGCGCACAUGAAAAUGUUAACCAAUCAACACAUAUAAACAUCUGAGUGGCUGAACAUGUACAUGAGUGGAUAGCGUAUAUUUCCCCUAUCAAGCCCUGGAAGGUACACUCAUGCUAAGCAGCCCCUGUAUUUUGUCGGAACAAUAUACUAAAUUGUUUGCAC